GCAUAGCUUAGGGGUAGAGCGCUUGCUCCUCGCAUGCAUGAAGCCCUGGGUUCAAUCUCCAGCACUGCA
RNAcentral lists this transfer RNA (69 nucleotides) under Marmota monax (woodchuck). RNAcentral's name for it is "tRNA.Undet". The record is from RNAcentral. Lineage: Eukaryota; Metazoa; Chordata; Mammalia; Rodentia; Sciuridae.